CAAAGAGCAUUUUAGUUUGACUCCCCGAAACCAAGUGAGCUACUCCAAGACAGCCUCCAAGGGCGCACCCGUCUCUGUGGCAAAAGAGUGGGAAGAUCAUUGAGUAGAGGUGACAGACCUACCGAACCUGGUUAUAGCUGGUUGCUCGGGAAAUGAAUAGGAGUUCAGCCUUUUGCCCCCUUUACUCAUAAACUGGCUACACUUCCAAGCACCAAAGUGGGACAAAAGAGUUAGUCAAAGGGGGUACAGCCCCUUUGAAUAAAGAUACAACUUUUCUAGAAGGGUUAAGAUCAUAACAGCAAGUAAGGGAAUGUGUUCUAGUUGGCCUAAGAGCAGCCACCCACACAGAAAGCGUUAAAGCUCAGACACCCCUCCACCCCUAUUAUCCGGACCACAUAAAUCUUACCCCCCUAAUCAUACCGAGCCUCCCCAUACCAAUAUGGGAGAGACUAUGCUAAUAUGAGUAAUAAGAGACCUAGAAUCUCUCCCAGCGCAAGUGUUCAUCGGAACGAACUGACACCGAAAAUUAACGGCCCCAAAAGAGGGUAUUGAAAUAUUAUAGCCAGACUACUAGGAGAGCAUCCAUACUCCCACCGUUGACCUUACACCAGAGCGCAUGCAAGGAAAGACUAAAAGAAAAAGAAGG
Molecule: ribosomal RNA, 646 nt
Filed under: Ostorhinchus properuptus (southern orange-lined cardinal fish)
Lineage: Eukaryota; Metazoa; Chordata; Actinopteri; Kurtiformes; Apogonidae
Description: partial 16S rRNA
Rfam family: Bacterial large subunit ribosomal RNA (bases 1-456)
Source: RNAcentral